AGAGUUGAUCAGUGGCUCAGGACGAACGCUGGCGGCGUGCUUAACACAUGCAAGUCGAACGGGGAUAAUUGGAAAGGUUCGGCCCGGAAGGAUAAUCGAGUGGCGGACGGGUGAGUAACGCGUGAGCAACCUGUCCCAGACAGGGGGAUAACACUUGGAAACAGGUGCUAAUACCGCAUAAGACCACGGGGUCACAUGGCCUUGGGGUAAAAGGAGCAAUCCGGUUUGGGGUGGGCUCGCGUCCGAUUAGAUAGUUGGUGAGGUAACGGCCCACCAAGUCAACGAUCGGUAGCCGACCUGAGAGGGUGAUCGGCCACAUUGGAACUGAGAGACGGUCCAAACUCCUACGGGAGGCAGCAGUGGGGAAUAUUGGGCAAUGGGCGAAAGCCCUGACCCAGCAACGCCGCGUGAGUGAAGAAGGCCUUCGGGUUGUAAAGCUCUGUUAUAGGGGACGAAGGAAGUGACGGUACCCUAUAAGGAAGCCCCGGCUAACUACGUGCCAGCAGCUGC
Molecule: ribosomal RNA, 510 nt
Filed under: uncultured bacterium
Lineage: Bacteria
Description: bacterial SSU rRNA
Rfam family: Bacterial small subunit ribosomal RNA
Source: RNAcentral